This 21-nucleotide non-coding RNA is filed under the name Caenorhabditis elegans. Lineage: Eukaryota; Metazoa; Nematoda; Chromadorea; Rhabditida; Rhabditidae. The record is from RNAcentral.
UAAGAAACUACUUGAUUUAUU